This 253-nucleotide ribosomal RNA is filed under the name uncultured bacterium. Its description in RNAcentral is "partial 16S ribosomal RNA". It matches the Rfam family "Bacterial small subunit ribosomal RNA", at positions 524 to 776 of the family's 1533-position model. The record is from RNAcentral.
UACGUAGGGUGCAAGCGUUGUCCGGAAUUAUUGGGCGUAAAGAGCUCGUAGGCGGCUUGUCGCGUCGACUGUGAAAACCCGCGGCUCAACUGCGGGCCUGCAGCCGAUACGGGCAGGCUAGAGUUCGGUAGGGGAGACUGGAAUUCCUGGUGUAGCGGUGAAGUGCGCAGAUAUCAGGAGGAACACCGAUGGCGAAGGCAGGUCUCUGGGCAUUAACUGACGCUGAGGAGCGAAAGCAUGGGGAGCGAACAGG